Molecule: ribosomal RNA, 458 nt
Filed under: uncultured Acaulospora
Lineage: Eukaryota; Fungi; Glomeromycota; Glomeromycetes; Diversisporales; Acaulosporaceae
Description: SSU rRNA
Rfam family: Eukaryotic small subunit ribosomal RNA
Source: RNAcentral
AGCAGCCGCGGUAAUUCCAGCUCCAAUAGCGUAUAUUAAAGUUGUUGCAGUUAAAAAGCUCGUAGUUGAAUUUCGGGAUCAAUUAAUUGGUCGUGCCUAUGGUACGUACUGAUUUUAUUGGUUUCUCCCUUCUGACGAACCAUGAUGUCAUUAAUUUGGUGUCGUGGAGAAUCAGGACUGUUACUUUGAAAAAUUAGAGUGUUUAAAGCAAGCUAACGCUUGAAUACAUUAGCAUGGAAUAAUGAAAUAGGACGUUUGAUCCUAUUUUGUUGGUUUCUAGGAUCGACGUAAUGAUUAAUAGGGAUAGUUGGGGGCAUUAGUAUUCAAUUGUCAGAGGUGAAAUUCUUGGAUUUAUUGAAGACUAACUACUGCGAAAGCAUUUGCCAAGGAUGUUUUCAUUAAUACAAGAACGAAAGUUAGGGGAUCGAAGACGAUCAGAUACCGUCGUAGUCUUAACC